UGACACAGGUGCUGCAUGGCUGUCGUCAGCUCGUGUCGUGAGAUGUUGGGUUAAGUCCCGUAACGAGCGCAACCCUUGUCCUUAGUUACCAGCACGUUAUGGUGGGCACUCUAAGGAGACUGCCGGUGACAAACCGGAGGAAGGUGGGGAUGACGUCAAGGGUCAUCAUGGCCCUUACGGCCUGGGCUACACACGUGCUACAAUGGUCGGUACAAAGGGUUGCCAAGCCGCGAGGUGGAGCUAAUCCCAUAAAACCGAUCGUAGUCCGGAUCGCAGUCUGCAACUCGACUGCGUGAAGUCGGAAUCGCUAGUAAUCGUGAAUCAGAAUGUCACGGUGAAUACGUUCCCGGGCCUU
Molecule: ribosomal RNA, 355 nt
Filed under: uncultured Pseudomonas sp.
Lineage: Bacteria; Pseudomonadati; Pseudomonadota; Gammaproteobacteria; Pseudomonadales; Pseudomonadaceae
Description: bacterial SSU rRNA
Rfam family: Bacterial small subunit ribosomal RNA
Source: RNAcentral